UUAGCUGAAACCAAAAAGAGGUGUAUUACUGUUAAUAAUACCAUUGAAUAGAGAAUUCCAGUUAAG
RNAcentral lists this transfer RNA (66 nucleotides) under Byrsotria rothi. RNAcentral's name for it is "tRNA-Asn". The record is from RNAcentral. Lineage: Eukaryota; Metazoa; Arthropoda; Insecta; Blattodea; Blaberidae.